CAGCGGAGCAUGUGGUUUAAUUCGAAGCAACGCGAAGAACCUUACCAGAUCUUGACAUCCAAUUGACCAUCUUUUAAUCGAGAUUUUGCCUUCGGGUACAAUUGAGACAGGUGGUGCAUGGUUGUCGUCAGCUCGUGUCGUGAGAUGUUGGGUUAAGUCCCGCAACGAGCGCAACCCUUGUGUUUAGUUGCAAACAGGUCAAGCUGUGCACUCUAGACAGACUGCCGUGGACAACACGGAGGAAGGUGGGGAUGACGUCAAAUCAUCAUGCCCCUUAUGAUCUGGGCUACACACGUGCUACAAUGGCCGGUACAACGGGCAGCGAAGGAGCGAUCCGGAGCGAAUCCUAAAAAGCCGGUCCCAGUUCGGAUUGCAGGCUGAAACUCGCCUACAUGAAGUUGGAGUUGCUAGUAAUCGCGAAUCAGAACUGUCGCGGUAGAAUAGCGUUCCCGGGUCUU
RNAcentral lists this ribosomal RNA (458 nucleotides) under uncultured Fusibacter sp. Its description in RNAcentral is "bacterial SSU rRNA". It matches the Rfam family "Bacterial small subunit ribosomal RNA", at positions 930 to 1382 of the family's 1533-position model. The record is from RNAcentral. Lineage: Bacteria; Bacillati; Bacillota; Clostridia; Eubacteriales; Fusibacteraceae.